Molecule: ribosomal RNA, 253 nt
Filed under: uncultured bacterium
Lineage: Bacteria
Description: partial 16S ribosomal RNA
Rfam family: Bacterial small subunit ribosomal RNA
Source: RNAcentral
UACGUAGGGUGCGAGCGUUGUCCGGAAUUAUUGGGCGUAAAGGGCUCGUAGGCGGUUUGUUACGUCGGGAGUGAAAACCCAGGGCUCAACCCUGGGCCUGCUUCCGAUGCGGGCAGACUAGAGGUAUGCAGGGGAGAAUGGAAUUCCUGGUGUAGCGGUGAAAUGCGCAGAUAUCAGGAGGAACACCGGUGGCGAAGGCGGUUCUCUGGGCAUUACCUGACGCUGAGGAGCGAAAGUGUGGGGAGCGAACAGG